Molecule: ribosomal RNA, 253 nt
Filed under: uncultured bacterium
Lineage: Bacteria
Description: partial 16S ribosomal RNA
Rfam family: Bacterial small subunit ribosomal RNA
Source: RNAcentral
UACGGGGGGGGCAAGCGUUGUUCGGAAUUACUGGGCGUAAAGGGCUCGUAGGCGGCCAACUAAGUCGGAUGUGAAAUCCCCAGGCUUAACCUGGGAACUGCAUCCGAUACUGGAUGGCUUGAAUCCGGGAGAGGGAUGCAGAAUUCCAGGUGUAGCGGUGAAAUGCGUAGAUAUCUGGAGGAACACCCGUAGCGAAGGCGGCACUCUGGGCCGAUACUGACACUGAGGAGCGAAAGCGUGGGGAGCGAACAGG